RNAcentral lists this ribosomal RNA (253 nucleotides) under uncultured bacterium. RNAcentral describes it as "partial 16S ribosomal RNA". It matches the Rfam family "Bacterial small subunit ribosomal RNA", at positions 524 to 776 of the family's 1533-position model. The record is from RNAcentral.
UACGGAGGGAGCUAGCGUUGUUCGGAAUUACUGGGCGUAAAGCGCACGUAGGCGGCUUUGUAAGUUAGAGGUGAAAGCCCGGGGCUCAACUCCGGAAUAGCCUUUAAGACUGCAUCGCUUGAAUCCAGGAGAGGUGAGUGGAAUUCCGAGUGUAGAGGUGAAAUUCGUAGAUAUUCGGAAGAACACCAGUGGCGAAGGCGGCUCACUGGACUGGUAUUGACGCUGAGGUGCGAAAGCGUGGGGAGCAAACAGG